ACACCGGCAGCCCAAGUGGUGGCCAUUUUUAUUGGGCCUAAAGCGUUCGUAGCCGGCCUGAUAAGUCUCUGGUGAAAUCCCGCAGCUUAACUGUGGGAAUUGCUGGAGAUACUAUCAGGCUUGAGGUCGGGAGAGGUUAGAGGUACUCCCAGGGUAGGGGUGAAAUCCUAUAAUCCUGGGAGGACCACCUGUGGCGAAGGCGUCUAACUGGAACGAGCCUGACGGUGAGUAACGAAAGCCAGGGGCGCUAACCGGAUUAGAUUCCCGGGUAGUCCUGGCCGUAAACGAUGUGGACUUGGUGUUGGGAUGGCCGCGAGCUGCCCCAGUGCCGAAGGGAAGCUGUUAAGUCCACCGCCUGGGAAGUACGGUCGCAAGACUGAAACUUAAAGGAAUUGACGGGG
This 401-nucleotide ribosomal RNA is filed under the name uncultured bacterium. RNAcentral's name for it is "partial 16S ribosomal RNA". It matches the Rfam family "Archaeal small subunit ribosomal RNA", at positions 473 to 873 of the family's 1478-position model. The record is from RNAcentral.